RNAcentral lists this unclassified non-coding RNA (704 nucleotides) under Ctenodon falcatus. RNAcentral describes it as "Aeschynomene falcata partial contains 18S rRNA, ITS1, 5.8S rRNA and ITS2". The stretch from base 285 to 440 matches the Rfam family "5.8S ribosomal RNA". The record is from RNAcentral. Lineage: Eukaryota; Viridiplantae; Streptophyta; Magnoliopsida; Fabales; Fabaceae.
AAAAAAUCGUAACAAGGUUUCCGUAGGUGAACCUGCGGAAGGAUCAUUGUUGAUGCCUCAAUCAAGAGAGACCUGUGAAUGUGUUUUCCUACUCGGGGUGGCUGAUGCUGCUCAGCAGCUAGGCUCCUCGACAUGUUGGGACGAGGGCGCUUUGUGUGUUCUUGUCCCGGCACCACAACAAACCCCGGCGCGGAAUGCGCCAAGGAAGUAGCAAUAGUAUAGCGCGCCCCGUCGGCCCGGAAACGGUGUUUGUACGGGCGGCGUCGCAACACUCGAGUCAAAACGACUCUCGGCAACGGAUAUCUCGGCUCUUGCAUCGAUGAAGAACGUAGCGAAAUGCGAUACUUGGUGUGAAUUGCAGAAUCCCGUGAACCAUCGAGUCUUUGAACGCAAGUUGCGCCCAAAGCCAUUAGGCUAAGGGCACGCCUGCCUGGGUGUCACUAAUCGUUGCCCCAAGCUCUUUUCUUAUGGUCAGGAGCGGGGCGAAUGUUGGCUUCCCGUGAGCACGGCCUCGCGGUUGGUUGAAAGUUUGGUUUGUGGUGGAUGAAGCACCGUGACAAAUGGUGGUUGAGUUUGUUCUCGAGGCCAGUCAUGCGUGCAACCUCCGCCGGCUCCGGACCCUGUGACCCACGAGCGAUGUUGGAUCGUUCCUUGACGCGACCUCAGGUCAGGCGGGGCUACCCGCUGAGUUUAAGCAUAUCAUA